AAUAAAGUAAGCUAAGGAAGCUAUUGGGUUCAUACCUCAAAAAUAGAUGUUAUAAUUCUCUUUAUUA
Molecule: transfer RNA, 67 nt
Filed under: Pteroctopus tetracirrhus
Lineage: Eukaryota; Metazoa; Mollusca; Cephalopoda; Octopoda; Octopodidae
Description: tRNA-Met
Rfam family: tRNA
About the family: Transfer RNA (tRNA) molecules are approximately 80 nucleotides in length.
Source: RNAcentral